AUACGGAGGGUGCAAACGUUGUUCGGAAUUACUGGGCGUAAAGCGCGCGUAGGCGGUUUGUUAAGUCAGAUGUGGAAGUCCACAGCUCAACUGUGGAAGUGCAUUUGAAACUGGCAGACUUGAGUACUGGAGGGGGUGGUGGAAUUCCCGGUGUAGAGGUGAAAUUCGUAGAUAUCGGGAGGAAUACCGGUGGCGAAGGCGACCACCUGGCCAGAUACUGACGCUGAGGUGCGAAAGCGUGGGGAGCAAACAGGAUUAGAAACCCUAGUAGUCC
RNAcentral lists this ribosomal RNA (274 nucleotides) under uncultured bacterium. RNAcentral's name for it is "partial 16S ribosomal RNA". It matches the Rfam family "Bacterial small subunit ribosomal RNA", at positions 523 to 796 of the family's 1533-position model. The record is from RNAcentral.